CUCGGCAGUAUGUGCGUAUGCUUAGUCAUUUCCAACUCUUUGGGGUCUCAUGGACUGUAGCCUACCAGGCUCCUCUGUGCAUUAAAUUUUCCAGGCAAGAAUACUAAAAUGGGUUAUCAUUUCCUUCUCUAGGGGAUCUUCCUGACCCAGGGAUUGAACCCUUGUCUCUUGGGUCUCCUGCAUUCGCAGGCAGAUUCUUUACCAGCUGAGCCAUGGCAGACCAAGCUAUGGCCAGAGAGUGGACAUGGACCAUUGCACAGGGAAUCAACGUGCAAAACUUUACCGGAUGUUUUUGGAGGAUGAAUAUAAAGUAGGAAGUCGAAGAGUUGAAGAGCAUGCUGGGCAUCUAUCAAAGUUUAUGAUGUGCCCCACAGGAGUCAGUAAGAGCUGGCCCGGGCUGUGUGUGCUCUGCAGUGGCCUUCCCUUUCUGUGAUCAUCCCUGCUGCAGAAGCCAUUACCAGAAUUUAGGAGUGAGAUGGUUUCUGGAGGGAAUUCUUCUGGAUAUGAAGUUAAAAUGUCUGAGUUGACCUGGGACUCUGACCCAGGCAGUGGGAGGAGCUUUCUCCAUCCUUCUGUCUGGAACAGCGGCUCCAACCUAGAGAACACGCUGCUCGUGUGCUCCACACUGACACCUCCAGGCAAGUCAGGCAACAGCAACCCUGCGAUGAAAGCAGCCUCCUCCUUGGCAUGA
This 691-nucleotide long non-coding RNA is filed under the name Bos indicus x Bos taurus (hybrid cattle). RNAcentral describes it as "lncRNA (ENSBIXG00005021703.1)". Lineage: Eukaryota; Metazoa; Chordata; Mammalia; Artiodactyla; Bovidae. The record is from RNAcentral.